GUUUUAGUCUGCCGGCCCAGCAGCUACCUGGGCUAGAGCUGAGCAGGGCCCUGGGGAGAUGGCCGUGGUCACAGCAGCAGGGAGGACUGGAGAGACCACAUUGCCGCAGCCCCAUGUCUCAGACAGGGCUCCCUUCCCCAGCUGCACCCUGUGGAUGUGAUGGCAUCCCCUGCCCUGUCCUGGUACCUGUCCCUCCUCCUCCUCCUCCUGCCCCUGGCUAUCUGUUGGACGUCUGCAGCAGUGAAAGACACUUCCCAACUCACGUGCUUCUACAACUCGAGAGCCAACAUCUCCUGCACCUGGAGCCCAGAUGGGGGUCUGCAGGGCACAUCCUGUGAAAUUCAAGCCAAGUCAGUCCAACGGUCAGAGAGAACAUCAGCCUGUACUCUUCUCCAAGAGACACAGACAUCCUGGGCCUGUAACUUGAUCUUUGGAGGACCAGAGUCUCAGAAGCUGACCUCAUCUGACAUCGUUAACCUGAGGGUGAUAUGCCACGAAGGGAUGGUGGUGAUGAGCAAAGACUUCAAACCCUUUGAUAACCUUCGCCUGAUGGCUCCAGCAUCACUCAAAGUCGUCCGUGUAGGGACCCACAGUUGCAACAUAACCUGGGCCAUCUCCCAGAUCUCCCACUACAUAGAAAGCAAGUUGGAAUUUGAGGCCCGGAAACGGUCUCCAGGCCACAGCUGGGAGGAGGCCCCCCGGCUGGCCCUCAAGCAGAAGCAGCUGUGGAUCUGUCUAGAGACACUCACCCCAGACACCCACUAUGAGCUUCAGGUGCGGGUCAGGCGCCAGCCAGAUGACCAGCACUCGGUGGAGCUGUGGAGCCCCUGGAGCCAGCCUGUGGAUUUUAGGACAAAGCCUGAAGCCCCCAGGAAGGAGACCCCGCCCUUCCCUUGGAUCCACCACAUCAUCGGGAGCCUCAUCAGUGCCAUGUGCUUCAUCAUCUUAGUCUGCUUGCUGGUCAACUGCAGGUCCAUCGGGCCCUGGCUGAAGAAGUUUCUGAAGUGUCACAUCCCAGACCCCUCGGCGUUCUUUUCCCAGCUGAGCUCAGAGCAUGGAGGAGAUUUCCAGAAGUGGCUCUCGUCGCCCUUCCCCUCAUCCUCCUUCAGCCCUGGCGGCCCAGCCCCUGAGAUCUCCCCACUGGAAGUGCUGGAGAGGGACAGCAAGGCUGCACAGCUGCUGCUACUGCAGCAGGAGAAGGUGGCCUCGCCCUUGCCCUCCACCAGUGGCCACUCGCUCACCAGCUGCUUCACCAACCAGGGCUACUUCUUCUUCCACCUCCCGGAUGCCUUGGAGAUCGAGGCCUGCCAGGUGUACUUUACUUACGAUCCCUGCACAGAGGAGGAGGCCGAGGAGGAGCCCGAAGAGGCUGGGCCUGGGGUGCCCACAGGGCCUCCCCUCCCGCCCCUGCAUCCUCUGUCAGGGGAUGAUGAUGCUUACUGCACCUUCCCUCCUGGGGAGGACCUGCUGCUCUUCUCCCCCAGUCUCCUCAGUGGUCCCAGACCCCCAAAUACUGCCCUAGGGGGCAGUGGGGCUCAUGAAGAGAGGCCGCCCCCCUCCCUGCAAGAGGGAGUCCCUGGACACUGGGAUCUUCAGCCCCCGAGGCUUCCUACCCCAAGAGCUCCAGACCUGGUGGAUUUCCAGUCCUUUCCGGAGCUGGCGCUAGAAGAGGCUGGGGAAGAAGUCCUUGCCCCCGGCCCUGAAGAGGAGGCUGGUUUCCCCUGGCCCAGCCGUCCUGGGGAGGGCCAGGGCAGGGCCCUUAUCGCUUCCCUGAGCCCCAUCACUGAUGCUUACCUGUCCCUCCAAGAACUCCAGGAUCAGGACCCGGCUCACUCAGUGUAGAUAGAUGGCCAGGGGCGGGAGGCAGGAAACUGCCUGCUGCUACCCCAGGCCUGAGGGGGGCCCAGUUGAGGUCUCUGUUCUCAAGACUUGUCCAUUGCUGAAGGAACUUGGUGUCCAGCUGCCUCAGGGACAUCCCCACCCAGAUGGCCCCCCAGCCCUGCACACUCAGCUCAUCUACUUCCAAACCUCAACUGCUGCUCUCUGGUCCUGCUGCCCAAGCCAGGAAUUGUGGGGUGGGGGUUGUGGUGAAGUUGACUCCUCAACUCCCCCUUUAAUCUCUGGGGCCUUGAUCUCGCCAGCCCCCUUGAUGUGCAGACAUCAGUCCUUGUGGCUCUCCAGGGGUCUUUGCCUUGAUCUCUUCCCUGGGUUUCCUGCUCCAGCCUCCCCCUUCCCUGUCUCCCCCACGCUGCAUAGGGCAGCCAGAGUACACUUUCCACAACACAAACAUGGCCUGCUCUCCCCUAUUCAGAGCCCUGUCAUGGCUCCCCACCACCCUCAGCAUCACUUCUGGUUCAGGACUUGCCCCUCCAGCAUCAUGGCAUCAGGUUGGGACAUAGCCUUUCUGGAACCCUCACCACAGUCCAGAGCCACCUGGAGGUCCCUCAUGCUCCCACACUUUGGCAUGUGCUGUUCCCUAGGCCUCGUGUGCCCUGUCCCUUAUCUAGGUGAUAGGCUUCCUUUAUCCUCAGGUGCCAGUUCUGCUCCUCCUGGAGGGGAGCACUGCCAAAACCUCCCGUGUCAGUGCUGGAAGGAGAAACUCCCGGGGCCCCAAGGGGGCUGGAAAGAAAGGCCCUGUCACAUGUCCCUUGGGAUCUCUUGGACCUCAGAGUGCUUGUCUGCUGCAUCCUUAAUGUUGUGACUCAAGUAUGGACAUAAAUCUCCCCAUCAAGUGGACACCUGCUGGAUCUUUUCCACAGUGGCCUCACCGAUUCGUAAAGGAAGUUGCUGAAAAGCAAACGCUGGAGUCUGAACAGCCCAGGCAGCAGCCCCCUCUGAUGCUGCCCAGGGGAGCCCAUGCUUGGGCCCCUCCCACUGCAUCCUCCACAGAGGUGUCUCCUCUGCAGCCCAGGGCCUGGCACUGGAGGGCAGUUCCACAGGGCAGCACUGUAUAGUAUUCCUUGGAUGAAUUAAUGAACUCUCUGGCACCACAUUUCCUGAGCUCUCUGCUCUGGGCUGCCUUCAUGGAGAGACAGCUCCUGCAUGCCUGGUCCUGCAACAGGCUCAUCUUACCUUGUAGUCCUCCUCUCUCACACAGCUGGCUCCUUCCUUCUCAAUGCUCCCACUAGCCCCACCGCCCCACUUCUCUUUCCUCUGCCCCUGCAUUGAUCACACUGUGAUGGCACGGUGACAACUGUCCCAACCUCCUGCCCCAGGAAGACAUGGAGCCUGCCACGCAAACUCUGACCUGGGACUGCUCCGUGCCUGCCCUUAUAGGUACUGCUCACAUCUUAUUGGGCACUUGAACACAAGCCCACCCACAGGCGGACCAGCAUCCUAUGAGGUGGCUUGGCACGAAACUCUGUCCAAUUGGCAAGGCCAGACCUGAGCUAGCCGAUCAGAUCACCUCUCAGUCUUGGGCCGCCGAACUCAAGAAACAGGUACAAGAAGACAAGGAAAAGAGCCUGCGUGCAGCUUUAGGUUCUCCCGUGCUGUGCUGGAGGCAGCCCCCAGUUGAUCGGAGCUGACACCUGGUGACAUUUCUGGACCACAGAAUCUCUCAGGUUCUUUUCACGAGAGGAUCCCCUGCUCUCUGAAUCUGGCUGUGACCCUCUCCAGGUCUUCAGCCUCAUGACCCAUUAUCCAUCACCGAAUGCCAGAACCUGCCGCAGGUGGUAAACAGGAGAAAAGGAGGAAGAACAGAGGGAAGAGGACAGUUACAGGUUCUGAGUGACCAUCAUGGACAGAAGAAAGGACAGAAGUCACAGCAUCAGGAGCCCUAUCUGUAUACCAAGACAACAGGGGCCUGAUGACGCAGCUGAUGGGGAGAAGAGAGGAAUUCAGGGAUACCCGAGUAAGUGCCGGGGCUUCCUAUAAAAGGGCAUCAGGAAUGAGCCUCCAUGGAGAACCCUGGGUGCCUGUGAUCUUGGACAGGGAUCCCUUCAAGGGUAAGAGCCAGACCUGCAAACUGGUCUGUCUGCAGCAGGGGCUGUGGGUGCAACAUUGGGAAGAAAAAAAAAAGUUAAAAAUUGUCAUUUUAUGUCUUUGGGAAAUUUUUGUAAACUCUCUGCCUAAGGUCUGUAUGUAUGGUAAUGAUAUUGUUCUUUUAUUUUAAUUUUUAGAAUUGAUUUUUGGACAGUGUAUUGAGAAGAACAUGGGACUGGGAAUCAGGUCACUUUGGUGGUAAACAGGUGAAAACUUUGCCUCCAAUGUGUGUGACCUUGGGUAGUCUGCACCCCCUCUCUGAGUCUCAGUCUGCCCUGUCUGUCCCAGCACUCGCUCCUGCUGGGACUCGACAGUGGAGAAGAAGGUUAGACUGAGUGACACAUGCAGUUUCCAUUCCGUGACCCAGAUGUGGUUUGAGGUAGCACCUCUCAAACCCCAACCCCUGAUUAGAUUCUGCAUCCCUGACCGCCUGUCCGGGGAAGCAGAAAGAGGGCAGGGGAGGGGCCUGUGAGUUUGUCCCAGUGGCACCUUUACACAGAGGCAGGAUUCCAGGACACUGGGCCGGGACUGACGUAGUGGAGAGGGAAGGAGGGAGGGACGCAGAGACAGGAGAGGGUGGCACUGGGAAAGAGCCACUGGCUCUGAAGUCAGAGGGCCUGGGUUUGAAUUCCAGAUUCCAGUGUGUCCUGGUUACGUGACCUCGAGCUGAUCACACCACUCUCUGAGCCUCCAGUUUCUCACCUGUCAAAUGGGGAGAAAUGACCAUUUUUCUCACCUGAGUGAGGCCUGUCCUGGGCCUGGUUAGCUGUAUUAUAAGUCAUAGCAUUUUAUGGUCUAGAGGACCCUUAGUGACCUUGAGUCCCUGUUCAGAUGGAGGAAGGUAGGCCACCAUGGUAGUGACUCCUGAAAAGUCUUACACUUGAGUCGAUCACAGGCCUCUUUGAUGCCUUCUUGCUUCUUAAAGCACCUAAGGGGUGUCCCUAAGUAUUGCUAAGGACCCCAGAGGGCUGGGGGACAGAGGAGACCUGAUGUCUGCCCCAAUCUAUCUCCCCAGGCUUGGCUACUUUCUUCCAGAGGAGUGACUGAGCCUUGUUGUUUUUCCUUUUCGGCAUUUUUCUUAUUCUUUUUGUGUGGCUGUGUUGAGAUCCGACACCACUUUAAUGGGUGAGCAAGCAAGUUGUGGUGCAUGUGGCGUGCACUGGACAGAGGUGACAGAGUGGCCCACCGGACCCUGGCUAGGCGGCCUUGGAAAAGAUGUUCCCAGUGAGCAGCUUGGCUGCAUGUCCUUUCCGUCCACUGGGUACCUCAUGUUCCAGAGACCUGCAGGAGGAAGGGCGUAGGUCACACCGUAUUUCUGUGGCAGCAGCUCAAGUGUAGAGAGAGAAAACACUUCAGAAGUGACUCAGGGACUUGGGGUCACAUGGAAUCUUUAGAACACUGGCCCACAUCAUUGUCAACAGCCAGCCUGCUCCUGCCCCCUUGCCCUACCUAUUAAGGGUUGAAUUUUGUCCCCCCAAAUGACAUAUUGAAGUCCCUGUGUGUCUGUGUCUCAGUGUGCAGUUUCCUUCCUUUUUUAGAUACUAGUCAUGGCUCGGUGCACGUAGCACAGUGGUUACAGCGCCAGCCACACACACCAAGGCUGGCAGGUUCAAACCCGGCCUGGGACAGCUAAACAACAAUGACAACUGCAAUAAAAAAAACACCUGGGAGUUGUGGUGGGCACGUGUAGUCCCAGCUACUUGGGAGGCUGAGGCAAGAGAAUCGCUUAAGUCUAAGAGUUGGAGGUUGCUGUGAGCUGUGAUGCCACGGCCCUCACUGAGGGUGACAUAGUGAGAUUCUAUCUCAAAACAAUUGAAGAAAAAAAUAAAGACACUAGUCAUAUUGAAUUUAGGGUUCACCCUAACCCAAUAUAACCUCAUCUUAACUUGCUUAUAUCUGCAAAGACCUUAUUUCCAAAUAAUCUCACAUUCUCCUCUUCAUCUUAAGUGGGGAGGGUCCAGCCCACUCUGGAGAAGCCUCUUUGCUAAGCUGCGUCUCUCUCUCUGUCUCUGAAACCCUCUGGGGAGGCCCAGGGUUUGCGGUGAGAAGGUGAGGGCGUGGGCUCUGAGCGUCCCAGCCAGACGCUGUCUAGACACUGUCUGGAAGGAUGAGCUCUUUUAGGUUCCAGGAUGGGUCAUUAGCUUCCCAGACCUGCUGUAACCAACAAGGAGACUUAAAACAACAGAUGUGUAUUCUCCCUGAGUCCUGGAGGCUAGAAGUCCAAAAUCAAUGUGUCAGCAUGGCCAUGACCUCUGUCUGAAGGCUCUAAGGGAGGAACCUCCCAAGUAGUGGGGACUGCAGGCACAUGCCACCAUGCCCAGCUAAAUUUUAAAAUUCUCAGUAGAGAAGAGGUCUCCCUAUGUUGCCCAGGCUGAUCUUGAACUGGUGAUCCUCCAGCCUCGGUCUCCCUGAAGGCCAGGGUUACAGGUGUGAGCCAUUACACCCCACCCUGAUGAUUCUUCAACUCCUUACCCUGCCUGUCACCUAAGCUGCUAUGCUAACUCCUCUAGCAAUGGAAGAGAAAAGGGACUAUUAUUAUUAUUUGAGAGGGAUUUUUAUGUAAUAUAUAUAUUUGUUCAGGUAUAAUUUACCUGAGUGACAUUCAUCCUUCUAAGGCUACAUUUCUAUGAAUACAAUCAUGUCACCACUACCACGAUCAAAUGUAGAAUCAUUCCAUCACCACAGGAAGUUCUGAGCUCCUUUGCAGUCAGUCCCCUUUUCCAUCCCCAGCCACUGGCCAUCACUGAUCUGGUUUCUUCUCCUUUAGUUUUGCCACAUCUAAAAUGUUAUACAAAUGGAAUCAUAUAUUAUGAAGCUUUUUGAGUCUGGCUUCUUUCACUUGGUGUAAUACUUCUGAGAGUCAUCUGUGCUGUUUUAUGUAUUAGUAAUUCAUCGCUUUUUAUUGUGGAGUAGUUGUUUAUUUAUGCACAUCCCACAAUUUAUUUAUCCAUUCCCCAGCUGAUAAACAUUUGAAUUGUUUCCAACUUUUGAGAAUUGUGAAUAAAGUUGCCAUGAACAUUGGUGUGUAGAAAUGAAUUCGGAGGCAGGAAGAAGUCCACGUGGCAAUGUGACAACGGAGGCAAAGAUUGGAGGGACGCGUCUCAGAGCCAAGAAUCACCAAGGACCGCCAGAACGACCAGAAGGCAGGGAGAGGCAGGGAAGGACUCUUUCCCAGAGCCUUCGGGGAAGGAACGAACCUGCCAACACUUUGAUGGCAGACAUCUGGUCCCAGCACUCUCAGAGAAUAAAUUCUUGUUAUUUUAAGCUACUGGUUUGUGAUAAUUUGGAAACCACAACAUUCCCCAUCAAAGAGAGCAGGCCAGAGGCUCUGUUCUUCCUGUAGUGGCACCUGGAGCAGGUCAACAUCUCCUCUCGGACCCUCAGUCUCGUCUUUUGCUGAGUGGAGACACAUAUUCCCACUCUAAAGCCUGGACUUGAGGCACCUAUGUGAUCGGCUAUGUUUGUGAAGGGCUCUAAAAAUCCUUCCUGCGAUGUCAUCAAAGGAGUUCGUAGUAACUGUCAUUUGGUCACUCAACAAAUAUUUAUUCCUCAUGUGUGCCAGGCACUGUUCUAGGCUGGGAUCUACCAAGGGGCAAGACAGAUAAGGCCUUGACUUCAUGGGGCUCACAAUCUAAAGAGAGUGGGGACAGCAGGAGGGAAGGGAGUAGACCACUAAACUGGAUGAUUUCGGAAAACAAGUGCUGUGACUUGGUGGAGGAGAAGGGUGUUGUACCUCCAGGCUGGGUUAUUGGAGGUCUUAC
Nycticebus coucang (slow loris) is the source of this 7745-nucleotide RNA transcript. It is a transcript of the gene named interleukin 2 receptor subunit beta, with no coding region annotated. NCBI's taxonomy places the organism in Eukaryota, Metazoa, Chordata, Mammalia, Primates, Lorisidae. The transcript is spliced from 12 exons. The record is from RefSeq and is a predicted model, not a curated record.